RNAcentral lists this transfer RNA (74 nucleotides) under Planctomycetaceae bacterium. RNAcentral's name for it is "tRNA-Met". It matches the Rfam family "tRNA". Rfam says of the family: Transfer RNA (tRNA) molecules are approximately 80 nucleotides in length. Lineage: Bacteria; Pseudomonadati; Planctomycetota; Planctomycetia; Planctomycetales; Planctomycetaceae. The record is from RNAcentral.
CGCGCGGUGGAGCAGCCCGGUAGCUCGCGAGGCUCAUAACCUCGAGGUCGCAGGUUCGAAUCCUGCCCGCGCCA